This is a long non-coding RNA of Maylandia zebra (zebra mbuna), 1637 nucleotides long. RefSeq lists it as uncharacterized. The record is from RefSeq and is a predicted model, not a curated record. NCBI's taxonomy places the organism in Eukaryota, Metazoa, Chordata, Actinopteri, Cichliformes, Cichlidae.
CUUACGGUGCUGUGUAAGUGCGUAUCACUAACUCAGUGGGAGAGAGAAGAGAGGACAGGCCAGCUGUCCUAAACAGUAAAAUAUUCAACUCUUAACAGGAAGAAAGAAGAGCUAGCAUUGUUUAAUAAACUAACAAGCGCGUGUUUUCAGAUAGUGAAAUUAAUUAAGAAUUAAAACAGACGUCGUAUAACGGGAAGUUAAACAAAUGAAGAAACUCCAGUGGAAAUGUCUGGGUAUGGAUAAUAAACAUUCAGCUCACGGGGGAAAGGAAGACAGCCUGCAAACAGAAUGCCACAGACGUAAGACCAGCACGCCUUAAAUGCAUUGGACCUGAACCUGGGGCAGGCAAAACCGAGGAAAUCAGAGCUGACUGGGGCACUGACGGAGAAUGCUUUGAGGUUUCCCUUACAGUGUUAGAUACACUGCAUGAAAGGGAGAUGGACCUCACAACAUCUUUGUUUAUCUCAAUGCAUCAAAUUAAAGUAACAAAAAAAAAAAAGAUUUCCCACCUGGCCUGAAAAAAAAAUUCCAAGGUUUAGAUGCACUUUUUAAUAGGAAUGAUGUAAAAUGUAAAGUAUUUAAUUUUUUUGUGUGUGUAAUUGAUGAAAGCAGGGUUAUUGCUAGUUGUCUUCCUUGACCAGUUUUUAUAGGGUCCAUUUUAAUAUCCCAUUGUGGAGAAGUGGUUGUGCUAGACCUUUGAAAUGUUUUAGGGUAAAUGUAUGGACUCUCAGGGGUGUAGCUCAAGUUAACACAGAAUGAUGGAUUGAAAGAUGUAGAGUCUCUGGCAGCAGAUUUGGAGGCCUGUAAAAACCACAGCUUUGUAGGUAUGGGACUGAUUUUUUUUUUUUUUUAGCAUAUUCUCAUAUACAUAGCACAUUAUUUAUAACAGUCCAAAUCAGGUGACUGGUUUGACAGAUAUUACAGUUUGAAUGUGGUAGGAAAAACACACAUUUUCAUCUAACUUUAGAAUAAUAUUCCCAAAUUACAAAGCCAAGUUCCAAAUCAGAAUUUCUUUUUAUUUGUAGAAAGGGUGAAGUUAAUACUACGGCCAAUAUGCUGCUGCUGCUGAUGAUGGUGAUGAACUCUCUCCAAGACGGAACAUUUCCAUGUAACACUUUUUAAAGCAACUUAUAAGAUAUUUCCGGAAACACGUUUGAGAUGGUGAGAGUUAGAGCAGUUGAGUUCCACAUGCAAUCAGAAAAGUAAAGAUUCUUGGAAUUCAAAAAAACCCCCAAACACCCCAAACAAAACACGCCAGUGGCGCAAUUGCUGGACAACACACUCAUAACUGGCUCUGUUUUAGUUUUUCGCUAACUGCUUUAACACAGCCAAGGUCUUUGGACUGCUGAGCACAACAUACCAGCACUAUUACUUUUUCCUGACUCAGAACAUGUAGUGAGCUUUAGCUUGUGGCAAAGAUAAUCAGCAUACAUUGUUUGUGCAUUGUUCUGCUUUUGAAAUGGUUCUAAUUUCUUUUAGCUUUUAAGAAUUGUUUCAAAGGUUGCCUGUGAUGAACAGCCAGGCAGUUGAGAUUCUUUCGGGACAGUCAUCAUAUUUGUGUGAGCAGAAUGGGUUUGAAGCUCUCCACAUUUCUGCUAUUCUUAAUUGACCGGAUCUAAUGACAUUAUUUAUGUUUU